UCGUUUUAAAAUGUUAAAAACAGGAACCUUAGUUGUAAAGAAAUCCAAAUCCGCUAGAUAUAUCAAAGUGUUGAGAAAGCUUCUCCUAGAGAUAAGAGAAAAAAAAAAUGAUUAGAAAAAGGGCUUAAAAGAUUCAUGAAUGCAAAGGGUAGAGUUAAGUUCUUAUAUUGGGAUUGGAGAUGGGAUUACCAUUAGAGCUUCAUUUGAUAUACUCUGGGUAGAUGGGAUCUUAUCUCUGUAUGCAUAGCUUGGGACUUACCUUUACCAUUCUACAAAGCUUAAUCAUUUUUUUUGAGAGAUCCCCUGUUACUGAAGCCUAUUCUGUAAGGGACCAUCUUUGUCUCUUGACCUUUUACCUUAGCCAAAUGAGUUCAUUGAUGAUGCAUUGCUUGAUUCACGCUCCA
RNAcentral lists this small RNA (404 nucleotides) under Arabidopsis thaliana (thale cress). RNAcentral describes it as "ATSL032980". Lineage: Eukaryota; Viridiplantae; Streptophyta; Magnoliopsida; Brassicales; Brassicaceae. The record is from RNAcentral.